This 1167-nucleotide ribosomal RNA is filed under the name uncultured bacterium. RNAcentral describes it as "bacterial SSU rRNA". It matches the Rfam family "Bacterial small subunit ribosomal RNA", at positions 198 to 1371 of the family's 1533-position model. The record is from RNAcentral.
GACCGCAAGGCCUCAUGCUAUAAGGAGCGGUCGAGUCUGAUAGCUAGUGUUGGGUAAUGUCCCACACGUCGACCGAUCAGUAGCUGUCUGAGAGACGAUCAGCACACUGGGACUGAGACACGGCCCAGACUCUACGGGAGGCAGCAGUGGGGAAUUUUGGACAAUGGGCGAAAGCCUGAUCCAGCAAUGCCGCGUGUGUGAAGAAGGCCUUCGGGUUGUAAAGCACUUUUGUCCGGAAAGAAAUGGCUCUGGUUAAUACCUGGGGUCGAUGACGGUACCGGAAGAAUAAGGACCGGCUAACUACGUGCCAGCAGCCGCGGUAAUACGUAGGGUCCAAGCGUUAAUCGGAAUUACUGGGCGUAAAGCGUGCGCAGGCGGUUGUGCAAGACCGAUGUGAAAUCCCCGAGCUUAACUUGGGAAUUGCAUUGGUGACUGCACGGCUAGAGUGUGUCAGAGGGGGGUAGAAUUCCACGUGUAGCAGUGAAAUGCGUAGAGAUGUGGAGGAAUACCGAUGGUGAAGGCAGCCCCCUGGGAUAACACUGACGCUCAUGCACGAAAGCGUGGGGAGCAAACAGGAUUAGAUACCCUGGUAGUCCACGCCCUAAACGAUGUCAACUAGUUGUUGGGGAUUCAUUUCCUUAGUAACGUAGCUAACGCGUGAAGUUGACCGCCUGGGGAGUACGGUCGCAAGAUUAAAACUCAAAGGAAUUGACGGGGACCCGCACAAGCGGUGGAUGAUGUGGAUUAAUUCGAUGCAACGCGAAAAACCUUACCUACCCUUGACAUGCCACUAACGAAGCAGAGAUGCAUUAGGUGCUCGAAAGAGAAAGUGGACACAGGUGCUGCAUGGCUGUCGUCAGCUCGUGUCGUGAGAUGUUGGGUUAAGUCCCGCAACGAGCGCAACCCUUGUCUCUAGUUGCUACGAAAGGGCACUCUAGAGAGACUGCCGGUGACAAACCGGAGGAAGGUGGGGAUGACGUCAAGUCCUCAUGGCCCUUAUGGGUAGGGCUUCACACGUCAUACAAUGGUGCAUACAGAGGGUUGCCAAGCCGCGAGGUGGAGCUAAUCCCAGAAAAUGCAUCGUAGUCCGGAUCGUGAGUCUGCAACUCGACUACGUGAAGCUGGAAUCGCUAGUAAUCGCGGAUCAGCAUGCCGCAGAUUCCCCUU